This 468-nucleotide ribosomal RNA is filed under the name uncultured bacterium. Its description in RNAcentral is "partial 16S ribosomal RNA". It matches the Rfam family "Bacterial small subunit ribosomal RNA", at positions 28 to 507 of the family's 1533-position model. The record is from RNAcentral.
GACGAACGCUGGCGGCGUGCUUAACACAUGCAAGUCGAACGGAAAGGCCCUGCUUUUGUGCGGUGCUCGAGUGGCGAACGGGUGAGUAACACGUGAGUAACCUGCCCUUGACUUUGGGAUAACUUCAGGAAACUGGGGCUAAUACCGGAUAGGAGCUCCUGCUGCAUGGUGGGGGUUGGAAAGUUUCGGCGGUUGGGGAUGGACUCGCGGCUUAUCAGCUUGUUGGUGGGGUAGUGGCUUACCAAGGCUUUGACGGGUAGCCGGCCUGAGAGGGUGACCGGCCACAUUGGGACUGAGAUACGGCCCAGACUCCUACGGGAGGCAGCAGGGGGGAAUAUUGCACAAUGGGCGGAAGCCUGAUGCAGCAACGCCGCGUGCGGGAUGACGGCCUUCGGGUUGUAAACCGCUUUCGCCUGUGACGAAGCGUGAGUGACGGUAAUGGGUAAAGAAGCACCGGCUAACUACGUG